AAGUCGUAACAAGGUUUCCGUAGGUGAACCUGCGGAAGGAUCAUUAAAAAAGGAUACCGGGCAACCGGUAGACCCCACCCGUGUCUCUCUACUCUUGUUGCUUUGGCAGGCCGUGGCCUCCACCGCGGGCUCCGCCUGCGUGUGCCUGCCAGAGGACCAAACUCUGAAUUUUAGUGAUGUCUGAGUACUAUAUAAUAGUUAAAACUUUCAACAACGGAUCUCUUGGUUCUG
This 231-nucleotide unclassified non-coding RNA is filed under the name fungal sp. Its description in RNAcentral is "partial internal transcribed spacer region". The stretch from base 1 to 46 matches the Rfam family "Eukaryotic small subunit ribosomal RNA", at positions 1786 to 1831 of the family's 1831-position model. The record is from RNAcentral. Lineage: Eukaryota; Fungi.